Molecule: ribosomal RNA, 459 nt
Filed under: uncultured bacterium
Lineage: Bacteria
Description: partial 16S ribosomal RNA
Rfam family: Bacterial small subunit ribosomal RNA
Source: RNAcentral
CCUACGGGCGGCUGCAGUGAGGAAUAUUGGUCAAUGGCCGGAAGGCUGAACCAGCCAAGCCGCGUGAAGGACGAAGGUGCCAAGCAUUGUAAACUUCUUUUGUCAAGGGACAAAAUCAGGCUCGAGAGCCUGACCGAGGGUACUUGAAGAAAAAGCAUCGGCUAACUCCGUGCCAGCCGCCGCGGUAAUACGGAGGAUGCGAGCGUUAUCCGGAUUUAUUGGGUUUAAAGGGUGCGUAGGCGGACUGUUAAGUCAGCGGUAAAAGCCCGGGGCUCAACCCCGGCGAGCCGUUGAAACUGGCUGUGUGGAGAUGUCGAGAGGUAUGCGGAAUGCGCAGUGUAGCGGUGAAAUGCUUAGAUAUUGCGCAGAACUCCGAUUGCGAAGGCAGCAUACCGGCGGCGAGCUGAUGCUGAGGCACGAAAGCGUGGGUAUCGAACAGGAUUAGAUACCCGGGUAGUC